Molecule: RNase P RNA, 448 nt
Filed under: Haloterrigena alkaliphila
Lineage: Archaea; Methanobacteriati; Methanobacteriota; Halobacteria; Halobacteriales; Natrialbaceae
Description: Haloterrigena sp. KZCA68 RNase P RNA component
Rfam family: Archaeal RNase P
About the family: Ribonuclease P (RNase P) is a ubiquitous endoribonuclease, found in archaea, bacteria and eukarya as well as chloroplasts and mitochondria. Its best characterised activity is the generation of mature 5'-ends of tRNAs by cleaving the 5'-leader elements of precursor-tRNAs.
Source: RNAcentral
GGGACGGGCAACGCUCCUAACGUGGCCCAUCUCUCCGAGAUGCGCCACGCUCGUAACGUGAUCCAUCCCUUCGGGAUGCAUCACGCCCGCGAGGAAAGUCCCCCCACCUGUUCGGGCAGGUGACCGGACGCAAGUCCGGAGCGGGAGACCGCUGGCUCUGGAACAGAAACGACACGUCUCGGCCCGACCGAUGAUGCGCGCGAACCCGACCGAGAGGAAGGGGAGUUGACCCGCAGAGGAUUGCGGUCGCGAAAUCGUGGUUCGAAUCCACAGAUCGCGCUCGUCGCGAUCGACCGCACACGGACGGCCGAGGAUCGAUGGAACGGCGAACCCUCACCGGUGCAAGUCCGCGCCGUGGUAGCCCGAACGCCCCGCGGCGCCGCCGCGGACGGCGCGGACGCUCAGCCGAAUGCCGGGACGAACAGAAGGGGGCUUACUCCUCUCACCC